RNAcentral lists this non-coding RNA (32 nucleotides) under Homo sapiens (human). Lineage: Eukaryota; Metazoa; Chordata; Mammalia; Primates; Hominidae. The record is from RNAcentral.
UAGGGACAAGAAGACACUCCUGCAGGAGUCGU